This 388-nucleotide ribosomal RNA is filed under the name uncultured eukaryote. RNAcentral describes it as "partial 18S ribosomal RNA". It matches the Rfam family "Eukaryotic small subunit ribosomal RNA", at positions 592 to 976 of the family's 1831-position model. The record is from RNAcentral.
CAAUAGCGUAUAUUAAAGUUGUUGCAGUUAAAAAGCUCGUAGUUGGAUUUCUGAUCGAGACAUCAGGUCGGGUCCGAGAGGAUCACGUACUUUGAUUUUGUUUUGAUCAUCCUUGGGGAGAGCAUUUCUGGCAUUCAGUUGUCGGGAUUGGGAUCCUCAUCGUUUACUGUGAAAAAAUUAGAGUGUUCAAAGCAGGCCUCGGCCUCUGAAUACAUUAGCAUGGAAUAAUAAGAUAGGACUUUGGUGGUCUAUUUUGUUGGUUUGCACGCCAAAGUAAUGAUUAAUAGGGAUAGUUGGGGGUAUUCGUAUUCAAUUGUCAGAGGUGAAAUUCUUGGAUUUAUGGAAGACGAACUACUGCGAAAGCAUUUACCAAGGAUGUUUUCAUUAA